GACGUAGGGGGCCAGCGUUGCUCGGAAUCACUGGGCGUAAAGGGCGCGUAGGCGGCGUUUUAAGUCGGGGGUGAAAGCCUGUGGCUCAACCACAGAAUGGCCUUCGAUACUGGGACGCUUGAGUAUGGUAGAGGUUGGUGGAACUGCGAGUGUAGAGGUGAAAUUCGUAGAUAUUCGCAAGAACACCGGUGGCGAAGGCGGCCAACUGGACCAUUACUGACGCUGAGGCGCGAAAGCGUGGGGAGCAAACAGG
Molecule: ribosomal RNA, 253 nt
Filed under: uncultured bacterium
Lineage: Bacteria
Description: partial 16S ribosomal RNA
Rfam family: Bacterial small subunit ribosomal RNA
Source: RNAcentral